RNAcentral lists this long non-coding RNA (1347 nucleotides) under Equus caballus (horse). RNAcentral's name for it is "lncRNA (ENSECAG00000058215.1)". Lineage: Eukaryota; Metazoa; Chordata; Mammalia; Perissodactyla; Equidae. The record is from RNAcentral.
CCCCCCCUUUUGGGCCCUCUGACCACAGGCCCUGUGACGCUGUUGGCCCCUCUGCACCGAAUCUCACUGUUGGGUCCCCUCGGCCUCCCACGUUCUGCUCUCCUGCCAGGCUCUUCCGCCUCUCCGCGAGCUGAGAAACACUCGCACAUCCCUGCUGACCGUUCUGGGAGCGGAGCCCAGUCCCGGGGCAGCCUCUUCUGUACUGCCUGGGCUGCUCGGCUGUCUCAGCGUUUCCUGGUCCCCCAGUCGGCGGCAACACGGUGCAAGACUCCCUCCUGGGACGGUGCAAGGCUCUCGGCAGGCGUGGGGGGAGGAGGCUGCCCCUCCACGCCCCUGAAGAGAGUGGUGGGCACUUGGCAACAGCGCCCUCCAAAGGAAUCUUUUCCCAACUCCUUCUCUCUUCUCCGGAUCUUACAGACUCUUCCGUGUUCUCAAGCCGCGGGUUGUGCUCAAGGAUCAUAGAACCAGCUUUAUGAUAUUUCCCUUGUGAAUUCUGCACGUUGUGAACUUGCCCACACUCGGCCAUGCCUGGGCCUCGGGGGAGACUGAGGCAGGAGAAGUCGCAUCUAACAGGCACCCCUCUUGUAAGUCACCCUGCCUCAAAGAGUAAAAGUGUGUUUAACCUGCUUUAAGAUCCAGAACAGUCCGUGGCCCUGACCUUCAGAGCAGACCCCUGGGAACCAUUUGAAAGCAGUGCUGCCGUUGGCCCCUCCCACUGAUAAGGAAGUGACUUCAGGUGCCCAGGGCUUGUUCACCCAUGGCAAUCAAUGUUAAAGCUUCCAAGAGCAAAGGGUGGGCUCCAUGGGGAUGCAGAGUGGGGAACCCCGUGCUUUUGCUGCAGGGAUGGAAAUCACAGAGUGCUGGAUGUCACGCCCAUCGCUAAGCCACACCUCAUCAUUACUGAACAGGAACCAGGCACUGAGGGGAGCAGAAGGCUUCCAGGGUGAGACAAUACAUCCCACAAUCUGGGGUAACAACAGCGGCCAUCUUUAAACAUGGGUGAUAUGCAAAGCAUUGGGGGGGGCACUUUGCAUAUGUUAUUUCUAAUCCUCGUGACUGCUCUGUCUGCUAGAUAUUUACUACCCCAUUUUACAGAUGAGAAAAGUGUGGCUCAGAGAAUUUAACUACCCAGUCCAGUGCCACACAGCUAGUUAUUUGUGGAGUUGGGAUUCAAACCCAGUGCUUAGGACUCUACAACUCAUUCUCUUCCCAUAAUCCUAUGUUGUCUCUCAGGAAUGGUGUCCACCUUGGAAAAGGAUGGCAAGGAGAAGGUAGUUGGCAAUGGAUCUUGCCACAUUGCAGGGUUCCUUGUGAGAUUUAAAGUUUAGACAAAUGAUUGCUUUGCCU